GCCAGGGUCAGAUGCCACGUCCUGCCUCAUAUUGUGCCCAUCAUUGCUGAAAGUGGAGUGAAACUCCAGAGCUGAAAAGCAGAGUCACAGUGAGAGAAUGGGGAAUUAUCUCCUGAGAGAAUUCAGUUGCCUGAGAAACAAUCAAAAGAAACUCAAGAAAGUAAACGAAGAUGUGGAAAGAAAACGGCAGGAAAUGACUACAUAUGAGAGACAAAAUCAAGUUCAAGAU
Molecule: non-coding RNA, 229 nt
Organism: Leptonychotes weddellii (Weddell seal)
Lineage: Eukaryota; Metazoa; Chordata; Mammalia; Carnivora; Phocidae
Source: RefSeq, a predicted model, not a curated record